RNAcentral lists this ribosomal RNA (1357 nucleotides) under uncultured bacterium. RNAcentral describes it as "partial 16S small subunit ribosomal RNA". It matches the Rfam family "Bacterial small subunit ribosomal RNA", at positions 28 to 1381 of the family's 1533-position model. The record is from RNAcentral.
GAUGAACGCUAGCGACAGGCUUAACACAUGCAAGUCGAGGGGCAGCACGGUGUAGCAAUACAUUGGUGGCGACCGGCGCACGGGUGAGUAACGCGUAUGCAACCUACCUAUCAGAGGGGAAUAACCCGGCGAAAGUCGGACUAAUACCGCAUAAAACAGGGGUUCCACAUGGAAAUAUUUGUUAAAGAUUUAUCGCUGAUAGAUGGGCAUGCGUUCCAUUAGAUAGUUGGUGAGGUAACGGCUCACCAAGUCUACGAUGGAUAGGGGUUCUGAGAGGAAGGUCCCCCACACUGGUACUGAGACACGGACCAGACUCCUACGGGAGGCAGCAGUGAGGAAUAUUGGUCAAUGGGCGAGAGCCUGAACCAGCCAAGUCGCGUGAAGGAUGAAGGAUCUAUGGUUUGUAAACUUCUUUUAUAUGGGAAUAAAGUGAGGAACGUGUUCCUUUUUGUAUGUACCAUAUGAAUAAGCAUCGGCUAACUCCGUGCCAGCAGCCGCGGUAAUACGGAGGAUGCGAGCGUUAUCCGGAUUUAUUGGGUUUAAAGGGUGCGUAGGUGGUUUUUUAAGUCAGCGGUGAAAGUUUGUGGCUCAACCAUAAAAUUGCCGUUGAAACUGGGGAACUUGAGUAUAUUUGAGGUAGGCGGAAUGCGUGGUGUAGCGGUGAAAUGCAUAGAUAUCACGCAGAACUCCGAUUGCGAAGGCAGCUUACUAAACUAUAACUGACACUGAAGCACGAAAGCGUGGGGAUCAAACAGGAUUAGAUACCCUGGUAGUCCACGCAGUAAACGAUGAUUACUAGCUGUUUGCGAUACACAGUAAGCGGCACAGCGAAAGCGUUAAGUAAUCCACCUGGGGAGUACGCCGGCAACGGUGAAACUCAAAGGAAUUGACGGGGGCCCGCACAAGCGGAGGAACAUGUGGUUUAAUUCGAAGCAACGCGAAGAACCUUACCAAGUCCUGACAUCCUUCUGACCGGUACUUAAUCGUACCUUCUCUUCGGAGCAGGAGUGACAGGUGGUGCAUGGUUGUCGUCAGCUCGUGUCGUGAGAUGUUGGGUUAAGUCCCGCAACGAGCGCAACCCUUAUCUUUAGUAGCCAGCGGUCAGGCCGGGCACUCUAGAGAGACUGCCAGGGAUAACCUGGAGGAAGGCGGGGAUGACGUCAAAUCAUCAUGCCCCUUAUGACUUGGGCUACACACGUGCUACAAUGGCGUAAACAAAGGGAAGCAAAGCUGUGAAGCCGAGCAAAUCUCAAAAAUAACGUCUCAGUUCGGACUGUAGUCUGCAACCCGACUACACGAAGCUGGAAUCGCUAGUAAUCGCAGAUCAGAAUGCUGCGGUGAAUACGUUCCCGGGUCU